CUCAGGUUGGAGGACUCCAAGAUGGCUUUCUAGAAGCAAAAUGGGUCCUUACUGGAGACUUCAACUGGCACUUUGAUGUUGGUUCUUUGCUGUGCCUCUCUCAGAGAAGUGAAGAUUAGAGAAGAUGCAAGACCAAUAAGCAUUGCACAGCUAGCUCUAUAAGCAAGCCAGGUUCAGCCCUGGUCACUAAGUCCUAUUAAUACCCUCCAAACAUCCUGUGUCCUCCACAGGUCUUGCCUCACCACAUGCAUCUGUCUCAGCUGACAUCACUCUGCCAAUCGGCCCGCAAGAAGCAGCAGCACACCACCAGCAGAUUUUCCUGUGCAUUUCUCUCUAUGGAGUUCCAUCAAAUGAAGUUCAACUACACAAUUUGUUUGAAAGCUGCAAGAAAAGUAGCCACUACAACUGACAAAGGGACUUCGAGGAAUGAGAAAUCUGAAGAGGAAGUAGUCAUUGUGAAAUGCCAUCCUAAGAGCCUGGUAAACUGAGUGUCAGUGGCCCUGCCAGUGAUCUCAGGACUUACAAUGAGGCAUCUUCCAGCAUCCACCGUCUCUCCCUUCAUGCUGAUCCACUCUGCCCUUCUAAUUGCUUCUUUUAUACCCUUUCUGUCUCCUUCAUUACCAAAUAUAUAUUUUCAUUUUUAACUUGAAUAUAUCAAUUAUUCAUA
Molecule: long non-coding RNA, 667 nt
Organism: Mus musculus (house mouse)
Lineage: Eukaryota; Metazoa; Chordata; Mammalia; Rodentia; Muridae
Product: predicted gene, 30900
Exons: 2
Source: RefSeq, a predicted model, not a curated record